ACUCCUACGGGAGGCAGCAGUGGGGAAUAUUGCACAAUGGGGGAAACCCUGAUGCAGCGACGCCGCGUGAAGGAUGAAGUAUUUCGGUAUGUAAACUUCUAUCAGCAGGGAAGAAAAUGACGGUACCUGACUAAGAAGCCCCGGCUAACUACGUGCCCGCAGCCGCGGUAAUACGUAGGGGGCAAGCGUUAUCCGGAUUUACUGGGUGUAAAGGGAGCGUAGACGGUAUGGCAAGUCUGAUGUGAAAGGCCAGGGCUCAACCCUGGGACUGCAUUGGAAACUGUCGAACUAGAGUGUCGGAGAGGCAAGUGGAAUUCCUAGUGUAGCGGUGAAAUGCGUAGAUAUUAGGAGGAACACCAGUGGCGAAGGCGGCUUGCUGGACGAUGACUGAC
This 392-nucleotide ribosomal RNA is filed under the name uncultured bacterium. RNAcentral describes it as "bacterial SSU rRNA". It matches the Rfam family "Bacterial small subunit ribosomal RNA", at positions 335 to 744 of the family's 1533-position model. The record is from RNAcentral.